UACGAAGGGGGCUAGCGUUGUUCGGAAUUACUGGGCGUAAAGCGCACGUAGGCGGACUGGUAAGUUGGGGGUGAAAUCCCGGGGCUCAACCCCGGAAUUGCCUUCAAGACUGCAAGUCUGGAGGUCAGGAGAGGCGAGCGGAAUUCCGAGUGUAGAGGUGAAAUUCGUAGAUAUUCGGAGGAACACCAGUGGCGAAGGCGGCACGCUGGACUGAUACUGACGCUGAGGUGCGAAAGAGUGGGGAGCAAACAGG
Molecule: ribosomal RNA, 253 nt
Filed under: uncultured bacterium
Lineage: Bacteria
Description: partial 16S ribosomal RNA
Rfam family: Bacterial small subunit ribosomal RNA
Source: RNAcentral